GGCCACUUGACUUCGGACUUUUCAUCCUCCAGAAAUGUAAGAAAUAAAUUAUUUUUCUUUAUCAACUACCCAGAAUACUACCCAGUGGUAGUCUGUUAUAGCAACACAAAACAGACUGACACUCGCAGAAUUUCUACAAGAUCUUUUUAAUUUUGCUUCCAUUGCAAUUUCAUUUUGGCUUUUGACCCUUGCAUCUAGAAUAGGCUUGGCCUUGCUCCAGGGAACAUGCCAUCCUGGCCUGACAUACUUCACCUUCCCAACUUCUGUCUUCUUUGUCAACUACCCACUCCGAAGUAUCCCUGACUUGCCUCCCUUGUCUUUGUUUCUCCUAGUGUGUUUUGUUUUGCUUUUUGAUGCAUGGGCCAUGACAGAAAUCUACUGAGGUGAAGGGGAAUUGAGGAGAGACUCAUUGUUUUCAGCAAGAUGGGUAGUUAUUGAGGAGAAAUUAGAAAGCAUCAACUAACUGAAUGUGAUAGGAUCCACAUUCCCACCACACGAAAUGAGACAGAUUUUUAAAUAUGGCUAAGCAGUGUAAGUAUUCAGGCAAAGUCUGACAACUAAAUAUGUAGUGGGCUCUAAUUAGAUGCUUCUUCAUUUGUCUCUAGGAAAAGGACUGAAGAAAACAGACAGUGAGACUGAUCCAAAAACUCCCAUGUAUAUACAAACACAUGAAAAAUGUCACCAAAAUGUUAAUGGCAGUUACGUUACAGUUGCAUCAGGGAUGGGCUUUCAGUGCAUGACAUCUACAAGUGUACAAGAUGGUACUGGAUCCAGUGAGGAAGACAAAAAGUCUGGCAGGAAUGUGAGAGAGACUGGGAAGAAUUGGCUCAAUAUGAUGAUGGAGUUCAGAGAGCUAAAUGAAGUGCUGAGAAGUCACUGUUUUAAAUGGCUUAGCCGUGUGGAGAAGUCAAUCAUGAUCUGA
This is a long non-coding RNA of Macaca mulatta (Rhesus monkey), 922 nucleotides long. The record is from Ensembl. NCBI's taxonomy places the organism in Eukaryota, Metazoa, Chordata, Mammalia, Primates, Cercopithecidae.